RNAcentral lists this ribosomal RNA (246 nucleotides) under uncultured bacterium. RNAcentral describes it as "partial 16S ribosomal RNA". It matches the Rfam family "Bacterial small subunit ribosomal RNA", at positions 524 to 768 of the family's 1533-position model. The record is from RNAcentral.
UACGAAGGGGGGCUAGCGUUGCUCGGAAUUACUGGGCGUAAAGCGCACGUAGGCGGCUUCUUAAGUCGGUGGUGAAAUCCUGGAGCUCAACUCCAGAACUGCCUUCGAUACUGGGAAGCUCGAGUCCGGGAGAGGUGAGUGGAACUGCGAGUGUAGAGGUGAAAUUCGUAGAUAUUCGCAAGAACACCAGUGGCGAAGGCGGCUCUCUGGACCGACACUGACGCUGAGGCGCGAAAGCGUGGGGAG